Molecule: ribosomal RNA, 465 nt
Filed under: Vreelandella stevensii
Lineage: Bacteria; Pseudomonadati; Pseudomonadota; Gammaproteobacteria; Oceanospirillales; Halomonadaceae
Description: partial 16S ribosomal RNA
Rfam family: Bacterial small subunit ribosomal RNA
Source: RNAcentral
CCUACGGGGGGCAGCAGUGGGGAAUAUUGGACAAUGGGGGGAACCCUGAUCCAGCCAUGCCGCGUGUGUGAAGAAGGCCCUCGGGUUGUAAAGCACUUUCAGUGAGGAAGAACGCCUGGUGGUUAAUACCCAUCAGGAAAGACAUCACUCACAGAAGAAGCACCGGCUAACUCCGUGCCAGCAGCCGCGGUAAUACGGAGGGUGCGAGCAUUAAUCGGAAUUACUGGGCGUAAAGCGCGCGUAGGUGGCUUGAUAAGCCGGUUAUGAAAGCCCCGGGCUCAACCUGGGAACGGCAUCCGGAACUGUCAAGCUAGAGUGCAGGAGAGGAAGGUAGAAUUCCCGGUGUAGCGGUGAAAUGCGUAGAGAUCGGGAGGAAUACCAGUGGCGAAGGCGGCCUUCUGGACUGACACUGACACUGAGGUGCGAAAGCGUGGGUAGCAAACAGGAUUAGAUACCCUAGUAGUC